This 784-nucleotide long non-coding RNA is filed under the name Homo sapiens (human). RNAcentral describes it as "long non-coding RNA NONHSAT199190.1". The record is from RNAcentral. Lineage: Eukaryota; Metazoa; Chordata; Mammalia; Primates; Hominidae.
AGGAAGAACCAGGAAGAGGCACAAAUGACUCAUUGUCCCACAUCCUCCAAGGUAACACAUGCACAGCCUAGGAUACAACCAACGGCUCUCUUCCAUUGUUCUAUUCGACACACUUCCCUGCACUUAUAGUUUUAAAAUAUCGUACACAUAACAUUAUGAUUUCAGUUCUAAAUGUAAACCAUGAUUUCUUUUUAAAGACGUAUGGCAGCCUUCAUUUCCAGUCAAGGCAUGCGACAUUUUAGGGUCCUGUGGAAGAAAUGCGAUAUGCUUUCAGAUCACGUGUGAAGGAGGUCUCACUGGGUUUAUAUCACUGAGUCAUGUGAGUGACCUCAUUACAUCCUGGAAACAGCCCUGUGUAGGUGUCAUCAUCAUCAGCCCCAUUGUAGAGAAGGACACCAAGACCCAGGAAGGAGGAGGGAUUCCAACAGGGUCCCACAGCACUGGCGGUGGGGCUGGGGCUACAAUCAGUUCACCUCUCCUACAUCACGUUUUACUGAGCAUCUGCUGUGCGCUGGACUCGCGGCUCGGUGUGAACAGGAUGCUGCGUCUUGCAUUUCCUCGGAAACAGGCUCUGUAAAUGUCAAGGCAAGCCCUUUGGCUUCCCUUGGAACUACUCAUUCUUGCAGAAGCUCAGCUAGAAGAGGAAGCUGGAGAGCGCGAAGGCAGCUGCCACCUCUUGCACGCGUGGGGGUCUCGGGGUAGCAGGGGCUGCUCUGUGCUGGGCUGGGCCAGUAGGGGGCGCCCUCCCUGGGAGCAGCAGGGCCUUCCAGAAGGCCAGGGCGGU